This 28-nucleotide small RNA is filed under the name Bombyx mori (domestic silkworm). RNAcentral describes it as "ovarian small RNA-19774". The record is from RNAcentral. Lineage: Eukaryota; Metazoa; Arthropoda; Insecta; Lepidoptera; Bombycidae.
UAAUGGAACCAAAGAUAACGCGAAAUAA